RNAcentral lists this small nucleolar RNA (114 nucleotides) under Labrus bergylta (ballan wrasse). RNAcentral describes it as "Small nucleolar RNA SNORD89 (ENSLBEG00000015443.1)". It matches the Rfam family "Small nucleolar RNA SNORD89". Rfam says of the family: snoRNA HBII-289 belongs to the family of C/D snoRNAs. It is the human orthologue of the mouse MBII-289 and has no identified RNA target. The record is from Rfam by way of RNAcentral. Lineage: Eukaryota; Metazoa; Chordata; Actinopteri; Labriformes; Labridae.
ACUGGGACAUGAUGUGAACAAAAGGCCGAAUUGUAGCGCCCCCGCCAGGCAGCGUGUUCUCAGAGCGGGGGUGCUGUGACAAAAAAUCGACCGAAGCGUUUGUCUGAUCCCAGU